Molecule: ribosomal RNA, 497 nt
Filed under: uncultured bacterium
Lineage: Bacteria
Description: partial 16S ribosomal RNA
Rfam family: Bacterial small subunit ribosomal RNA
Source: RNAcentral
GAUGAACGCUGGCGGCGUGCCUAAUACAUGCAAGUCGAGCGAACAGAUAAGGAGCUUGCUCCUUUGACGUUAGCGGCGGACGGGUGAGUAACACGUGGGUAACCUACCUAUAAGACUGGGAUAACUUCGGGAAACCGGAGCUAAUACCGGAUAACAUUUGGAACCGCGUGGUUCUAAAGUGAAAGAUGGUUUUGUUAUCACUUAUAGAUGGACCCGCGCCGUAUUAGCUAGUUGGUAAGGUAACGGCUUACCAAGGCGACGAUACGUAGCCGACCUGAGAGGGUGAUCGGCCACACUGGAACUGAGACACGGUCCAGACUCCUACGGGAGGCAGCAGUAGGGAAUCUUCCGCAAUGGGCGAAAGCCUGACGGAGCAACGCCGCGUGAGUGAUGAAGGGUUUCGGCUCGUAAAACUCUGUUAUUAGGGAAGAACAAACGUGUAAGUAACUGUGCACGUCUUGACGGUACCUAAUCAGAAAGCCACGGCUAACUACGUG